UACGUAGGAGGCAAGCGUUGUUCGGAUUUACUGGGCGUAAAGCGCGCGCAGGCGGCAUGGCAAGUAAGGUGUGAAAUCUCCCUGCCUAACGGGGAGGGUGCAUUUUAGACUGCCAAGCUAGAGGACGGUAGAGGGGGGUAGAAUUGCUGGUGUAGCGGUGAAAUGCGUAGAGAUCAGCAGGAAUACCCGUGGCGAAGGCGGCCCCCUGGGCCGAACCUGACGCUGAGGCGCGAAGGCUAGGGGAGCGAACGGG
RNAcentral lists this ribosomal RNA (253 nucleotides) under uncultured bacterium. RNAcentral's name for it is "partial 16S ribosomal RNA". It matches the Rfam family "Bacterial small subunit ribosomal RNA", at positions 524 to 776 of the family's 1533-position model. The record is from RNAcentral.